GUGAGGAAUAUUGGUCAAUGGGCGAGAGCCUGAACCAGCCAAGUCGCGUGAAGGAUGAAGGUUUUAUGAAUUGUAAACUUCUUUUGCAGGGGAAUAAAGUACGGUACGUGUACCGUUUUGUAUGUACUCUGCGAAUAAGGAUCGGCUAACUCCGUGCCAGCAGCCGCGGUAAUACGGAGGAUCCAAGCGUUAUCCGGAUUUAUUGGGUUUAAAGGGUGCGUAGGUGGUUUGAUAAGUCAGCGGUGAAAGUUUGCAGCUUAACUGUAAAAAUGCCGUUGAAACUGUCGGACUUGAGUGUAAAUGAGGUAGGCGGAAUGCGUGGUGUAGCGGUGAAAUGCAUAGAUAUCACGCAGAACUCCGAUUGCGAAGGCAGCUUACUAAGCUACAACUGACACUGAAGCACGAAAGCGUGGGGAUCAAACAGGAUUAGAUACCCUUGUAGUCC
This 445-nucleotide ribosomal RNA is filed under the name uncultured bacterium. RNAcentral describes it as "partial 16S ribosomal RNA". It matches the Rfam family "Bacterial small subunit ribosomal RNA", at positions 354 to 796 of the family's 1533-position model. The record is from RNAcentral.